Long non-coding RNA from Gallus gallus (chicken), 2626 nucleotides. RefSeq lists it as uncharacterized. The transcript is spliced from 7 exons. NCBI's taxonomy places the organism in Eukaryota, Metazoa, Chordata, Aves, Galliformes, Phasianidae. The record is from RefSeq and is a predicted model, not a curated record.
AGAGUGAGGCAUGUCUGCACUGAGGGCGAGCAGCUGAACUGUUGCAGGGUGUGGACAGACCCAGGGACUGCUGAAGGCUCCCACGCCAUGAACCAUCCAGCCAGGACCUGGCAGGGCUCAGCCUGGGCUAAUCUGCUCUCCAGCUGGUUUUUGAGUCAUGAGCUGGUUGCAAUUAUUUUGCCUCUGUAAUUCCAUCUUCCUUGCGCUCUUCCUGGCUUCAGAGCCACUGGAGGAUGGUCACCUGUGUGGAGCUGUGCAUGAAAAUCGGAUCCCAGCUGCAGGCAAGGGAACACUGGAAGAAGACUGCAAGGAGUAGUCGUGUCACAGCUGCAGUUGUGGUUAUUAUUCAUCAUCUUGCUACACACAGCACUCAGCUUGUGCUGAGCAGGGAGAGCUGUGAUCCCCGUUAUUAUCAAUACCCAGUGCUGUACCAGUGCCUCAGCAAAGGUGGGGAUCUGGAACCAGCAGGGCACCAACCAAGGAACAGAAACAACUGUGUUUUUAGGAUUCUGAUUAAUUUUUCAAGUGGUGUAAGUGCUUGGAUCUGCUCCAUGUAAAGUCUUUCAAAUGUGUGGGUGCAUGGGUGCAAAUAUAUUGCUUAUUUGUUCCUCUUACCCUCCUAGAGUCAGAGCCAGAAUUACCUUCAGUCAUUAUUCUAUCCUGUCUCUGUAAGUAUAGGCUGUUCUUGGAAGAAAAACAAAUACAUUUGAGUACCAUCCUUUACAAAAAAUGUGGGUGUCGAUUCCAGGAAAAAUGCUCGCUUAAAACUCCUUGUUGCAGGAGACUUAGCCACGUGAUGGCUAGAAACACCAAAAGGAAGAGCUCUGCAAUGAGAGGCCAUGGCUUGAAAAAUACAUGGUCAGUUUCAGUGCUGAAAUACCCUAUAGAAGGAGGAAUGUUGGCAUAAUGUUCACAAGGAGUAGCCUGGUGCAUUUCCUGAUGGUUUGUAGUGGAAAAAACUGCUGAGUAAGUGCCUACUUCAGGCGCUCUGGUAUCCAGUCUCUACCCAAUGAUCCAUUAGUUGGUGGAAAUGUUGAAGAUGACUACAGUGGAAGUGCUAAGUCACAGCCUGUAGCAGUGAUGGAGCACCUGGUGGGAAGGCGGGGCCAACCCAGGAGAGCUCAGGUGCAUGCAAUGUACCUGAGUGACCAGAAGGGCUGCAGCCAGGAUCCACCCCUUCCCAGACCUCAUUUAAGGGUUGGCAGUGAAGAGCAUCUCUUGCUGGACAUCCCUGUCUACUUGAGGCCUUCCAAAAUGCAGCCUGGUCCUGACACUUCUUUGCAACUGCCUCCGGAGCCAGUCCCGCUUUGUACUGCUGUGCAUCCUUAGAAAAUAGGCUGCCAGGUGCUGAACACCCACAGUUUGGAGUGAUCACUCAUGGAUGUAUGUCUCUGAUGGUCUCAGAGAGUGUGGGCUGAACUCCAUCCUCUUUCAUCUGGGUCCUGGAGGCAUUCUCAGUCCCGCUCCCUCCACCUCUGCACCUGAUGUCCUUGCCAAGCACAUUGGGAAGAAGCUCCAUCCUGGAGCACAACAGCAUACACCCCGAAGGUAGAUGCAUCCUCACAUACCCUGCUCAGUAUCAGUCGUGACGCGGGGCAGACCCUGCUGCAGAUGCAUUCAUCCCCACUGUGCAUCCCAUACCUGCUGCAGCCCCGUGAGCCUGGGAGGUCUGAGGGCACCGUGCCAGCAUCACAGCACUGGGAGGGAAAUCCGUGCAGCCUGUGCCUGCGUGUUUGCAAACGGCCAUCGCAGUGCCGUGCAUAACACUUAAGCUGAAUGAGAGACUAAAUAAAGAUUAAAUGGAGACGGAUGCCUCUAUUUGCAUUAGGAGAGGUUUUGAAUCUCUUCUCGUUUGCUUUCCCGGAGCAGUUUGCAGGUGAGCCGUUGGCCUGCCAGGCCCUGUGCAGUGAGGAUUUUUAUCCCCGAAGUUUGCUUUGUUUCCAGUAGGUCUCUUAAUUACAGCAAAUUAAAAAUUAAAAGAGAGGACAGGCAGUGAGUGGUGGGUAAGCAUUGUCAACAGCUGCGCGUGAUGCAAGCUCCGUGACUGAGCGAGUGGCUCCAGAGAUUGCAUUUGUGCUGAAAUAAAGGCAGAGUUAAAGUCGCAAGAGAACCAGAACCAAUUUACCUCCUUUGUGAAUAAUUUGCCCCAAACUUCUUUGAAGCUUGGUCGUUUCCCCUUGAAAGGCACUGUUUAGUCAAAAUGGACCCUCUUUGUGGGGAAGAAUGAAUUAUUCUGAAUCCACCCAGAACUUCUGAGAGCAGAGGGGUCCGGCUCAAAGCCCUCCAUCACCUCGUCUCUAUUGGCCACCCGUGUCCCCAGUCCUCACCAGUGUGGGAUGGGGCUGCCUGUGCUACCAGGGAGCACCUGCCUCUCCUUGUGCUAUCUGCUGGGCUUCCUGAGUAGCAGGGCAGUGCCUUCUGUGUCAGAGCUGCCUUGUGGCAACCCCAGCACACCCGAAUGGCACUUCGAAGAGUGGAGCUUUCAGGGAGCAGCUGUGGAUAUAAAAAUAAAAGCAGCAGGGAGCAGGGUUGUUGGUGUCAGCGGGAAACAUGCGCUGAAGUAGGGACUGGAGCAUGGAUGAGCCUUCUGUUGUCGCUUCUCCUCCCGGCAUCCUGGUGUGGUGGC